UAAGGCCCGUGGCAGACCACCACGUUGAUAGGCCGGAGGUGUAAGCACGGCAACGUGUUCAGCCGACCGGUACUAAUCGGCCGAGGGCUUGGUACUUA
This 98-nucleotide ribosomal RNA is filed under the name Acidimicrobiaceae bacterium. Its description in RNAcentral is "partial 23S ribosomal RNA". It matches the Rfam family "Bacterial large subunit ribosomal RNA", at positions 2828 to 2925 of the family's 2925-position model. Lineage: Bacteria; Bacillati; Actinomycetota; Acidimicrobiia; Acidimicrobiales; Acidimicrobiaceae. The record is from RNAcentral.